RNAcentral lists this ribosomal RNA (162 nucleotides) under uncultured bacterium. Its description in RNAcentral is "partial 16S ribosomal RNA". It matches the Rfam family "Bacterial small subunit ribosomal RNA", at positions 612 to 773 of the family's 1533-position model. The record is from RNAcentral.
AACGGAGAAUUGCAUCAGAAACUGGGAGACUUGAGUGCAGAAGAGGAGAGUGGAACUCCAUGUGUAGCGGUGAAAUGCGUAGAUAUAUGGAAGAACACCAGUGGCGAAAGCGGCUCUCUGGUCUGUAACUGACGCUGAGGUUCGAAAGCGUGGGUAGCAAAC